RNAcentral lists this ribosomal RNA (429 nucleotides) under Chloroflexota bacterium. RNAcentral's name for it is "Chloroflexi bacterium partial 16S ribosomal RNA". It matches the Rfam family "Bacterial small subunit ribosomal RNA", at positions 355 to 776 of the family's 1533-position model. Lineage: Bacteria; Bacillati; Chloroflexota. The record is from RNAcentral.
UGGGGAAUAUUGCACAAUGGGCGCAAGCCUGAUGCAGCCAUGCCGCGUGUGUGAAGAAGGCCUUCGGGUUGUAAAGCACUUUCAGCGGGGAGGAAGGCGAUAAGGUCAAUAACCUUGUCGAUUGACGUUACCCGCAGAAGAAGCACCGGCUAACUCCGUGCCAGCAGCCGCGGUAAUACGGAGGGUGCAAGCGUUAAUCGGAAUUACUGGGCGUAAAGCGCACGCAGGCGGUCUGUCAAGUCGGAUGUGAAAUCCCCGGGCUCAACCUGGGAACUGCAUUCGAAACUGGCAGGCUAGAGUCUUGUAGAGGAGGGUAGAAUUCCAGGUGUAGCGGUGAAAUGCGUAGAGAUCUGGAGGAAUACCGGUGGCGAAGGCGGCCCCCUGGACAAAGACUGACGCUCAGGUGCGAAAGCGUGGGGAGCAAACAGG